Molecule: long non-coding RNA, 346 nt
Organism: Alosa alosa (allis shad)
Lineage: Eukaryota; Metazoa; Chordata; Actinopteri; Clupeiformes; Clupeidae
Exons: 3
Source: RefSeq, a predicted model, not a curated record
ACUCACUCACACACUCUCUCUCUCUCUCUCUCUCUCUCUCUUUUCCUCUCUCUCUCCUUCCAUAUCUCCCUCUCUACCGCUAGCUUGCUUUCCAUCUCAGUUCAAUCCAGGGACUGACUGCUGCGAGCGAACAUGUGGAUGGGAGAUAGGCAGAGAACGGAGGGAUGGGAAAGGGAUGGAUGAAAGAGUGGAGGAAGUGAGAGGAGCUGCUUCGGGGGGAGAGGCGCUGCUCCUAUAGAACCGGCCAGGACAUCAACAACUGUUCCACCUGCUUGAAAACAGCCUGCAUCAUAUACAGCGUGGAGCAUGACUUCCGUCAGCAGGAGGGCCGGUUCCAUGGCGUGCU